UACGGAGGGUGCAAGCGUUGCUCGGAAUUAUUGGGCGUAAAGGGUAGGUAGGUGGUCUCAUUUGUCUGGGGUGAAAUCCUUGGGCUUAACUCAAGAAGUGCCCCAGAAACGGUGAGACUAGAGUACUGGAGAGGCGAGUGGAAUUCCCGGUGUAGCGGUGAAAUGCGUAGAGAUCGGGAGGAACACCAGAGGCGAAGGCGCUCUGCUGGACCAUA
This 215-nucleotide ribosomal RNA is filed under the name uncultured bacterium. RNAcentral describes it as "partial 16S ribosomal RNA". It matches the Rfam family "Bacterial small subunit ribosomal RNA", at positions 524 to 738 of the family's 1533-position model. The record is from RNAcentral.